CCUACGGGAGGCAGCAGUGAGGAAUAUUGGUCAAUGGACGAGAGUCUGAACCAGCCAAGUAGCGUGAAGGAUGACUGCCCUAUGGGUUGUAAACUUCUUUUAUAUGGGAAUAAAAUGUUCCACGUGUGGGAUUUUGUAUGUACCAUAUGAAUAAGGAUCGGCUAACUCCGUGCCAGCAGCCGCGGUAAUACGGAGGAUCCGAGCGUUAUCCGGAUUUAUUGGGUUUAAAGGGAGCGUAGGUGGAUUGUUAAGUCAGUUGUGAAAGUUUGCGGCUCAACCGUAAAAUUGUAGUUGAAACUGGCAGUCUUGAGUACAGUAGAGGUGGGCGGAAUUCGUGGUGUAGCGGUGAAAUGCUUAGAUAUCACGAAGAACUCCGAUUGCGAAGGCAGUUCACUGGACUGCAACUGACACUGAGGCUCGAAAGUGUGGGUAUCAAACAGGAUUAGAUACCCUUGUAGAC
Molecule: ribosomal RNA, 460 nt
Filed under: uncultured bacterium
Lineage: Bacteria
Description: partial 16S ribosomal RNA
Rfam family: Bacterial small subunit ribosomal RNA
Source: RNAcentral